GGGGUCGAAUUGGAUUUGACAGCGAUAGAAGUUGUUGAGUGUAAGCAUGUAGAGCCUUGUGGUGAAGCUCUUAAAUCUUUUGCCGCAAACUAUAAUUGACAACACGUCAUACAGACUUGCUGCCUAAUUUACUGAAUGUAAAUUAAGCUUAAUCUAGUGGAAUAAUAGUACACAGACAAGUUCCCUCUCCCACGUUUCCGUCUGAUAAACAGGGAUCAAGAGGGACCAAAUUUUUCAGAAUAGUACCAGUGAUACUUCUAAGCUGGUGCGAAACUCAGAAGAUAAGUGAAUUUAUUGGGUGUCUUUGUCCGAGGGUUCAUCGAAAAUUAACCGAAGAAUAAACAUGUAGAAAGCUUAGUUGCUCGUCGUUUGGACGAGGGUUCGAAACCCUCCGACUCCACCA
Molecule: transfer-messenger RNA, 403 nt
Filed under: Crocinitomicaceae
Lineage: Bacteria; Pseudomonadati; Bacteroidota; Flavobacteriia; Flavobacteriales
Also listed under: 5 other names
Description: UBA4466 sp002733985 Standard tmRNA
Rfam family: transfer-messenger RNA
About the family: Bacterial tmRNA, also known as 10Sa RNA or SsrA, is named for its dual tRNA and mRNA-like properties. Its role is to liberate the mRNA from a stalled ribosome. To accomplish this part of the tmRNA is used as a reading frame that ends in a translation stop signal.
Source: RNAcentral